This 513-nucleotide ribosomal RNA is filed under the name uncultured Glomus. RNAcentral describes it as "SSU rRNA". It matches the Rfam family "Eukaryotic small subunit ribosomal RNA", at positions 569 to 1086 of the family's 1831-position model. The record is from RNAcentral. Lineage: Eukaryota; Fungi; Glomeromycota; Glomeromycetes; Glomerales; Glomeraceae.
AGCAGCCGCGGUAAUUCCAGCUCCAAUAGCGUAUAUUAAAGUUGUUGCAGUUAAAAAGCUCGUAGUUGAAUUUCGAGAUCAAUUUGUUGGUCGUGCCUCGGUACGUACUGGCAAUUUUGAUUUCUCCCUUCUGAAGAACCAUGAUGUCAUUAAUUUGGUGUCAUGGGGAAUCAGGACCGUUACUUUGAAAAAUUAGAGUGUUUAAAGCAGGCUCGCGCUUGAAUACAUUAGCAUGGAAUAAUGAAAUAGGACGUUUGAUUCUAUUUUGUUGGUUUCUAGGAUCGACGUAAUGAUUAAUAGGGAUAGUUGGGGGCAUUAGUAUUCAAUUGUCAGAGGUGAAAUUCUUGGAUUUAUUGAAGACUAACUACUGCGAAAGCAUUUGCCAAGGAUGUUUUCAUUAAUCAAGAACGAAAGUUAGGGGAUCGAAGACGAUCAGAUACCGUCGUAGUCUUAACCAUAAACUAUGCCGACUAGGGAUCGGAUGAUGUUAAUUUUUAAUGACUCAUUCGGUCG